This is a long non-coding RNA of Rhinichthys klamathensis goyatoka, 291 nucleotides long. RefSeq lists it as uncharacterized. The record is from RefSeq and is a predicted model, not a curated record. NCBI's taxonomy places the organism in Eukaryota, Metazoa, Chordata, Actinopteri, Cypriniformes, Leuciscidae. The transcript is spliced from 2 exons.
GGCAUAUUAGAGCUCAGUGAGAGCCCAUAACAUUAUCCAGCAGUGUCGUCUUGAUUUAAUUGGGAGUUGAGCAACUUUUCCAUAAACAAAAUUCUGAUGCUGACACAGAGGAUGGAGUGAUAAUACCAGAGAUCAACUGUCUCCAUCAGACAAUAAUGUUACUUUGUUCAGACAUAUCACCUUUGAAUGACUGGGAUCCUGAUCUUCAGACACCUGAUGUAUUUUAUUUUAAUAUUAUAAAAUAGCAAAUAUUUUAAUUUCUUUGGAGCUCUAGAUUAAAACAAACACAGU